AGAGUUUGAUUAUGGCUCAGGACGAACGCUGGCGGCGGGCUUAACACAUGCAAGUCGAACGCGAAAGGGUCCUUCGGGGCCCGAGUAGAGUGGCGCACGGGUGAGUAACGCGUAGGCAACCUGCCCCCAAGUGAGGAAUAACUAUCGGAAACGGUGGCUAAUACCACACGCCGUCCCAGUCGCGCAUGCGAUCGGGAUGAAAGCCUUCGGGUGCUUGGGGAUGGGCCUGCGUCGGAUUAGCUAGUUGGUGAGGUAAAAGCUCACCAAGGCAACGAUCCGUAGCUGGUCUGAGAGGACGAUCAGCCACACUGGCACUGAGACACGGGCCAGACUCCUACGGGAGGCAGCAGUGGGGAAUCUUGGGCAAUGGGCGCAAGCCUGACCCAGCCACGCCGCGUGCAGGAAGACACCCCUACGGGGCGUAAACUGCUUUUACAAGGGAAGAAGGCCCUGUUUUGCAGGGUUUGACGGUACCUUGGGAAUAAGCACCGGCUAACUCCGUGCCAGCAGCCGCGGUAAUACGGAGGGUGCAAGCGUUGUCCGGAAUCACUGGGUGUAAAGAGUGUGUAGGUGGGGCUGUAAGUCAGAGGUGAAAGCCCGCGGCUUAACCGUGGAAUGGCCUUUGAUACUGCAGUUCUUGAGUCCUGAGAGGUCGUCGGAAUUCGUGGUGUAGCGGUGAAAUGCGUAGAUAUCACGAGGAACACCAGAGGCGUAGCGGAUGACUGGACAGGUACUGACACUG
RNAcentral lists this ribosomal RNA (742 nucleotides) under uncultured bacterium. RNAcentral's name for it is "bacterial SSU rRNA". It matches the Rfam family "Bacterial small subunit ribosomal RNA", at positions 8 to 748 of the family's 1533-position model. The record is from RNAcentral.